Molecule: non-coding RNA, 110 nt
Organism: Morus notabilis
Lineage: Eukaryota; Viridiplantae; Streptophyta; Magnoliopsida; Rosales; Moraceae
Source: Rfam
AUACCUUUCCCGGCUUUUUGGUUAAGAUCAAGUGUAGUAUCUUUUUUUAUCAGUUUAAUAUUUGAUAUGUGGACCAAUGGUCUACAUGAUAUUGAUAUUAAGGAUGUGUU